GAUCAAGUGUCUUAAGGGCAAUUGGUGGAUGCCUUGGCAUGCACAGGCGAUGAAGGACGUGAUACGCUGCGAUAAGCUACGGGGAGGUGCGAAUACCCUUUGAUCCGUAGAUUUCCGAAUGGGGAAACCCACCUAAGGUACUUGGAAAAUCAGAGAUGCAGGGCGACCUGCAUCUGUGGUUUCCAAGUAUCGCUAAUAGGUAACUUAUCCUGAAUCCAUAGGGAUAAAGUGGCGAACGCGGGGAACUGAAACAUCUAAGUACCCGUAGGAAAGGACAUCAACCGAGACUCCGGAAGUAGUGGCGAGCGAACCCGGACCAGGCCAGUGGCGAUUGAGAGACAAGCGGAACCUUCUGGAAAGUAGGGCCAUAGCGGGUGACAGCCCCGUACGCGUAAUGCGAUCAAUCGUCCUCGAGUAAGGCGGGACACGUGAAAUCCUGUCUGAAAUUGGGAGGACCACCUUCCAAGCCUAAGUACUCGUGCAUGACCGAUAGCGAACUAGUACCGUGAGGGAAAGGUGAAAAGCACCCCGACAAGGGGAGUGAAAGAGUACCUGAAACCGAUUGCCUACAAACAGUGGGAG
This 582-nucleotide ribosomal RNA is filed under the name Mesorhizobium sp. Its description in RNAcentral is "partial 23S ribosomal RNA". It matches the Rfam family "Bacterial large subunit ribosomal RNA", at positions 1 to 579 of the family's 2925-position model. The record is from RNAcentral. Lineage: Bacteria; Pseudomonadati; Pseudomonadota; Alphaproteobacteria; Hyphomicrobiales; Phyllobacteriaceae.